This is a non-coding RNA of Physcomitrium patens, 886 nucleotides long. NCBI's taxonomy places the organism in Eukaryota, Viridiplantae, Streptophyta, Bryopsida, Funariales, Funariaceae. The record is from RefSeq and is a predicted model, not a curated record.
ACAUGGAUUUCAAAACAAGCUAUGAGGAAUUUGACUUCUUUUGAUUAUCUAUUAUAUAAAACAAUUUGGAUAUAAGUUAUAAGAUAUAAAGAAGCCUUCUCAUUAGCCAAACAUGGAUACAGUACCCAAAGACACGAGUUUUUGCUAGUAUUACAUAAUUCACAAAUUGAAAUCUUUGAUUACUUCAUCUUUCAACAACAAACAUUCUUGCGACACAAAGAAGGCAAAAAUCAACAAUGCAUCACGCACUCUUAACCCAAUUUCACCCAAUUCAAAACGCUCUUCCCCCAGCUCCAUUCCAGGGUUUCCAUCUCAAUUAGGGUUUCAAUUCAAACCCUAACCCUAAUUCACACCCUUGAGUUAUCUUACUCUCUGGAAUGUGCCAUGAACACGGUUUGCAAUCCACUCGUCUCUGGUCGGAGUGUGUCAAUUUUGUUUUCGGCGUCUAGUUGCACUUGCAAGUAUUUUGGUUGUGCGGUGAAUUGGCUGCAAUUGUGAAGAUGGGAUUGCUAAUUCGGUUCAUGGGACUGUUUUUUGUGCACGUUGCUGUCUUGCUUUGGUUCGUCGAGCCUUCACGCUGCAGCCAGAGCCAUUGUGGGCCUUGAAUAAACCCUCACGUUUCGAUGAAUUCCAUGUCGUGGACGUUGUAAGCUUCUCGCGAAUCGUUUGGUAAUGUUUCGGGUGGCCGCGAUUCCGAUUGCUGCAGCAGAGAGUCAACAAGUCUCCUUCGACCUCGUGUUCGCUGAAGGGCUAACCAUUUCAUCCUCGGGGAUCGGGAGUGUAACGCAAUGCUAGCAACCAAAGGAUUGAAUCGUAUGCACUUGACAGUUCCAGAAAUCAUGACUCUGCUCUCUCUCCGAAAAUGUUCCCCAGAUGAUAUGGCUAA